Molecule: long non-coding RNA, 1157 nt
Filed under: Capsicum annuum
Lineage: Eukaryota; Viridiplantae; Streptophyta; Magnoliopsida; Solanales; Solanaceae
Description: long non-coding RNA (CANN_LNC015744)
Source: RNAcentral
UCUCAAUAUCACCCCUCCCUCCCUCCCACCAACAAGCAUCAGUUUUCCUUCUUCCUCAGUAUUUCCCUACAUCAUGAUUCCACUUUACAUACCUAUAAUCCGUAAACCCUAAACAUAAUUUCGCGAUAAAAUAGAAAUUCACAUCAUAUUAGUUUUUUAAAAAAUCCAUUUAUUUCAGUGUAUUUUUAUUAAGAGAUAUAUAUAUUUUUAUUAAGAGAGUAUAUAUUAUGUAUAGAUCGGGAGCUGUAAUGGCAUGGAAUGUAUUCAGGUUUUGUACUGCCUUACGAGGGCUUGGGUCGAUCAUGAUCCUUUUGGUUCUUGGUGUUGUAGGAGUUACCUAUUACGCUGUCGUUUUAACCAAUUAUGGUCCUUCUAUUGCCGGUAGUAGUGGUCUUCUUGAUGUCCUCAUCGCUCUUUCAGUACUCGUCGUAUUCCAUUGUCUGGUAAUUUUUAAUCCCUCCGUUUCAAUUUGUUUAUCAUAUUUUAACUUGACAUUGAGUUUAAGAAAGUUAAAAAAAAACUUUUAAAUGUUUGUGGUCUUAAAUUAAAAAUGUAUCAUAUGUACUAAAAUGUCUUUACACUUGUGUUCUUAAACAUGCCAUGCCACGUGGUAAGUUAAAAUUAAAUAGUUGAAACGGAGGGAGUACAAUCAAAAUUAAAUAGUUGAAACGGAGGGAGUACAAUCAUAAGGAAUCUGUUAGAGUUGAAGCAUUGGAAAUCGAAAUUGAAUUUUUAAUAGUCACCACUGAUUCGAAUCCUGCGGAUAAUGUGCUUGUAUAAGAUGUACUUAAGUUUUGGUGGUAAUGGUUUUAUUUUAACGGAAGGUAGUGACAGGGGUUAAACGUUUGUGCUAACUGAUAAUGUCUUCAAUAUUAACUAAACAGAUCACCGGAGUUUAUAGAAAGAAAAGUUUGAGAGAUUUUAAAUUCGUCUCGGUUAUCGAGUUCUGUUUCAGAGCUGAAGUGGGACUCUGGAUGGAUUAGAAGUUAUAUUAAGUAGCUAAAAGUACCAUAUUUGUGAUGGUUGCAGUUGGUGAUGCUUCUGUGGUGUUACUUUUCUGUUGUUUUUACUGAUCCUGGUAGUGUGCCUCCAAAUUGGAGGCCAGAGUUGGAUGAAGAAAGAGGGGAAGCUGAUCCGUUAACCGCGUCAGAAUUCGG